AAAAACUCCGGUGGUAUACGAUGGAUCCGCGUCUGAUUAGCUUGUUGGCGGGGUAAAGGCCCACCAAGGCGACGAUCAGUAGCCGGCCUGAGAGGGUGAACGGCCACAUUGGGACUGAGACACGGCCCAAACUCCUACGGGAGGCAGCAGUGGGGAAUAUUGCACAAUGGGGGAAACCCUGAUGCAGCGACGCCGCGUGAGUGAAGAAGUAUUUCGGUACGUAAAGCUCUAUCAGCAGGGAAGAAAAUGACGGUACCUGACUAAGAAGCCCCGGCUAACUACGUGCCAGCAGCCGCGGUAAUACGUAGGGGGCAAGCGUUAUCCGGAUUUACUGGGUGUAAAGGGAGCGUAGACGGCAGCGCAAGUCUGGAGUGAAAUCCCAUGGCUUAACCAUGGAACUGCUUUGGAAACUGUGCAGCUGGAGUGCAGGAGAGGUAAGCGGAAUUCCUAGUGUAGCGGUGAAAUGCGUAGAUAUUAGGAGGAACACCAGUGGCGAAGGCGGCUUACUGGACUGUAACUGACGUUGAGGCUCGAAAGCGUGGGGAGCAAACAGGAUUAGAUACCCUGGUAGUCCACGCUGUAAACGAUGAAUGCUAGGUGUUGGGGGACCAAGGUCCUUCG
Molecule: ribosomal RNA, 621 nt
Filed under: uncultured bacterium
Lineage: Bacteria
Description: bacterial SSU rRNA
Rfam family: Bacterial small subunit ribosomal RNA
Source: RNAcentral